Molecule: long non-coding RNA, 568 nt
Organism: Dermacentor silvarum
Lineage: Eukaryota; Metazoa; Arthropoda; Arachnida; Ixodida; Ixodidae
Exons: 3
Source: RefSeq, a predicted model, not a curated record
UAGGUUUGCCGUAAGGAAAUGUGGUGUAGUUCGCGUGCACGAAAGUGCCGGAAGAUAUCCUGCGUCUGGCUCCAAACUCGCCGUAUGCGUGGCGCGCCAGGCAAAUGCGGACCAACGAUUUUCAUGCCGUGGAGUGUGUUCCCUUUGUCUUGGGUGGUCGUGGAAAGUUUUAUAGACGUCGCAAUGAAAUGUGUAUUAUUAGCGUGCCUCUGCUCGUCCAUUACGCAACGGCAUGUAUGCUGGGAUCAAAAUCGUCGACGCAGCACUCGCAACUCGGAGAGCUCUUUUCGAUCUCAUCGUACUGUUCAAAAGUGGUGAGGCCGUGGCCCGCAACAGUGUCCACUAAAAGGAGGAGCCCCCAGAAAUGCAGACCCCAUAUGAGUGCCUGCAGCAGCACGGCUGGAUGCUCAUGUCAGGCUUUACCAUGGCGGAGUACCAGGCGGAACCAACGAGGUUAAAAACUAGCCUUUCCUCGCUGCUUUACCGGGAAGUGAAAAUAGUGGGCGAUCAUGUAAGAAUGAACUUGCAACAUGUGAGCAGUAGCCAAAGCUCCAUACAGGUCAUGCUG